This 301-nucleotide ribosomal RNA is filed under the name uncultured bacterium. RNAcentral describes it as "partial 16S ribosomal RNA". It matches the Rfam family "Bacterial small subunit ribosomal RNA", at positions 509 to 809 of the family's 1533-position model. The record is from RNAcentral.
CAGUCGCCGCGGUAACACGAAGGGUGCAAGCGUUACUCGGAAUUACUGGGCGUAAAGCGUGCGUAGGUGGUGGUUUAAGUCCGUUGUGAAAGCCCUGGGCUCAACCUGGGAAUUGCAGUGGAUACUGGGUCACUAGAGUGUGGUAGAGGAUAGUGGAAUUUCCGGUGUAGCAGUGAAAUGCGUAGAGAUCGGAAGGAACAUCUGUGGCGAAGGCGACUAUCUGGGCCAACACUGACACUGAGGCACGAAAGCGUGGGGAGCAAACAGGAUUAGAUACCCCGGUAGUCCCUGUCUCUUAUAA